RNAcentral lists this ribosomal RNA (580 nucleotides) under uncultured marine eukaryote. RNAcentral describes it as "bacterial SSU rRNA". It matches the Rfam family "Eukaryotic small subunit ribosomal RNA", at positions 621 to 1180 of the family's 1831-position model. The record is from RNAcentral.
AAAAAGCUCGUAGUUGGAUCUUCUGCUGAGGACGACUGGUCUGCCCUCUGGGUGAGUAUCUGGUUCGGCCGAAGCAUCUUCUUGGAGGUUGCAAGCGCACUUCAUUGUGUGGUGCAACCGACUGGAAUUUUACUAUUAGAGGAAAUUAUGAGUGUUCGACAGGGAGGCGCAACGACCUCGCAUAGCGUUAGACAUGGAAUAAUGCUAGUAAGACCAUGGUAUUGCUGUGUUGGUAUUCUAUCACCUAAUGGUAAUGAUAUAACAGGGAUACGUUGGGGGCAUUCGUAUUUCAUGUGUCAGUAGGUGAAAUUCUUGGAUUAUAUGAAAGACGCAACUUCUGCGAAAGCACGUAUGCCAAGGAUGUUUUCAUAUAAUCAAGUAACGAAGAGUUGGAGGCUACGAAGACGAUCAGAUACCGUCCUAGUUCCAACCAUAAACGAUGCCGUCUGCGGAUCGGAGGUCGCUCAUGUAAGGCUCCUUCGGCACGCUAUGAGAAAUCAAAGACUUCGGGUGCCGGGGGGAGUAUGUGCACAAGAAUGAAACUUAAAGGAAUAGACGGAAGGGCACCACCAGGAGUGGA